This 1745-nucleotide ribosomal RNA is filed under the name Escherichia coli. Its description in RNAcentral is "partial 23S ribosomal RNA". It matches the Rfam family "Bacterial large subunit ribosomal RNA", at positions 1213 to 2925 of the family's 2925-position model. Lineage: Bacteria; Pseudomonadati; Pseudomonadota; Gammaproteobacteria; Enterobacterales; Enterobacteriaceae. The record is from RNAcentral.
CUGAUGCGUUGUUGGGUAGGGGAGCGUUCUGUAAGCCUGUGAAGGUGUACUGUGAGGUAUGCUGGAGGUAUCAGAAGUGCGAAUGCUGACAUAAGUAACGAUAAAGCGGGUGAAAAGCCCGCUCGCCGGAAGACCAAGGGUUCCUGUCCAACGUUAAUCGGGGCAGGGUGAGUCGACCCCUAAGGCGAGGCCGAAAGGCGUAGUCGAUGGGAAACAGGUUAAUAUUCCUGUACUUGGUGUUACUGCGAAGGGGGGACGGAGAAGGCUAUGUUGGCCGGGCGACGGUUGUCCCGGUUUAAGCGUAUAGGCUGGUUUUCCAGGCAAAUCCGGAAAAUCAAGGCUGAGGCGUGAUGACGAGGCACUACGGUGCUGAAGCAACAAAUGCCCUGCUUCCAGGAAAAGCCUCUAAGCAUCAGGUAACAUCAAAUCGUACCCCAAACCGACACAGGUGGUCAGGUAGAGAAUACCAAGGCGCUUGAGAGAACUCGGGUGAAGGAACUAGGCAAAAUGGUGCCGUAACUUCGGGAGAAGGCACGCUGAUAUGUAGGUGAAGUCCCUCGCGGAUGGAGCUGAAAUCAGUCGAAGAUACCAGCUGGCUGCAACUGUUUAUUAAAAACACAGCACUGUGCAAACACGAAAGUGGACGUAUACGGUGUGACGCCUGCCCGGUGCCGGAAGGUUAAUUGAUGGGGUCAGCGCAAGCGAAGCUCUUGAUCGAAGCCCCGGUAAACGGCGGCCGUAACUAUAACGGUCCUAAGGUAGCGAAAUUCCUUGUCGGGUAAGUUCCGACCUGCACGAAUGGCGUAAUGAUGGCCAGGCUGUCUCCACCCGAGACUCAGUGAAAUUGAACUCGCUGUGAAGAUGCAGUGUACCCGCGGCAAGACGGAAAGACCCCGUGAACCUUUACUAUAGCUUGACACUGAACAUUGAGCCUUGAUGUGUAGGAUAGGUGGGAGGCUUUGAAGUGUGGACGCCAGUCUGCAUGGAGCCGACCUUGAAAUACCACCCUUUAAUGUUUGAUGUUCUAACGUGGACCCGUGAUCCGGGUUGCGGACAGUGUCUGGUGGGUAGUUUGACUGGGGCGGUCUCCUCCUAAAGAGUAACGGAGGAGCACGAAGGUUGGCUAAUCCUGGUCGGACAUCAGGAGGUUAGUGCAAUGGCAUAAGCCAGCUUGACUGCGAGCGUGACGGCGCGAGCAGGUGCGAAAGCAGGUCAUAGUGAUCCGGUGGUUCUGAAUGGAAGGGCCAUCGCUCAACGGAUAAAAGGUACUCCGGGGAUAACAGGCUGAUACCGCCCAAGAGUUCAUAUCGACGGCGGUGUUUGGCACCUCGAUGUCGGCUCAUCACAUCCUGGGGCUGAAGUAGGUCCCAAGGGUAUGGCUGUUCGCCAUUUAAAGUGGUACGCGAGCUGGGUUUAGAACGUCGUGAGACAGUUCGGUCCCUAUCUGCCGUGGGCGCUGGAGAAUUGAGGGGGGCUGCUCCUAGUACGAGAGGACCGGAGUGGACGCAUCACUGGUGUUCGGGUUGUCAUGCCAAUGGCACUGCCCGGUAGCUAAAUGCGGAAGAGAUAAGUGCUGAAAGCAUCUAAGCACGAAACUUGCCCCGAGAUGAGUUCUCCCUGACUCCUUGAGAGUCCUGAAGGAACGUUGAAGACGACGACGUUGAUAGGCCGGGUGUGUAAGCGCAGCGAUGCGUUGAGCUAACCGGUACUAAUGAACCGUGAGGCUUAACCUUACAACGCCGAAG